Long non-coding RNA from Triticum aestivum (bread wheat), 2790 nucleotides. RefSeq lists it as uncharacterized. The record is from RefSeq and is a predicted model, not a curated record. The transcript has 4 exons. NCBI's taxonomy places the organism in Eukaryota, Viridiplantae, Streptophyta, Magnoliopsida, Poales, Poaceae.
UCCAUCUCGAACCCAACUCCACAGCCCUAACCCGUGCCUGCCGCCGCUGCCCUCGUGCUCGAUCCACAGUCCUGCCGCCGGCCUCGCGCUCUACCCCGUUUUCAAGUCGUUGUCUCGGAGCUUGCACUACCUCGCCCCUAAGCUCCACCUCGUCAUCCACCCGUCCUUGCAGUCCGCCCCUCCCCCCAAGCUCCAUAUCCCGAGAUCGAGCCGUCGCCCUCUCGAUUCAACAUCGAACCGCCGUCCUCGCACCGCCCCCUCGACAUCCCACUGUCGUCCUUGCCAGUCCCCGCUCCUGCUGCUGCCAGGGCUCCAUCUCCGGGCUCCCGCUGCUGUCCCACCUGCUGUUGCUGGGGCUCCAUCUCCGGGCUCUUGCUGCUGCUGGAUCUGCUGCUACCGGGGCUCCAUCUGCAGGCUCACACUGCUGCUGGACCUGCUGCUACCGAGGAUCCAUCCCCUUCGAGCUAUGCCCCUCUCAAAGACAGUUGGCAUCGUGUCUGAGUGAGGUGAUGGCGGAAGACAAUAAUGAUCAUUGAUACAUCAUAGAUGGAGCUGGAGGCAAUGCUGCAAAGAGUGUCAAAUGGAGGUGGCUUCUCAUGGGUCCUACAGCCAUAUAGGUGGAUAGUUGUUCAACAAAAUGAUAUAUGGACUUCAAGCUGGUAUCAUAAAAAAACAUUUGCUUCGGUGUUCUGAAGUUUCUCGAUGAAGUGUAAUAUAUUUGACCAGUAGCGACACCACCACAAGGCAUAUAUGUACCAAUGAUGUUAUUUCUUCUAGUCAAUUUGAUUUUUUUAUCUGUUGUGAGUAACAAGUAAACUACUCAGGUUGAUCUUAUUUGUAUAUUUUGCAAUUGUUUCCUGGUUGAUGUAUUGCAAGAGCGUUGUUUGUCCAUACUUAAGUAUACUUCAGUUUGGUUCAGUUUAGGACAUAGUAAGUAUGCUUUAGAAGAAAUAAUAAAAAUUAUCUGUUGCGAACAACAUGUCAGGCUUGCGUUUUCAAUCUCCCUGUACUUCUAUGGUUCCAAAUAUUCUCUUGUAUCUUCAUUGUCUUAUCUGCUUGUAGACCUAUACUGCAAGUUAGUUUGAUGUUAAAGAAAAAUCCAUUUAUUGUACUGUUGUCAGUUUGUGCUUAAUUUUGUGAUUGUUGAAGGCAAGGAAAAGAGAUGGUGCAGAAGGAGCUUAAGCAAGCAUGAUGGUUCGACGACCACAACCUCACAAGGCCAUCCACAUGGCCCAGCAACACUAUUUCAAGUCUGCCUCUCGCUCCCUACCCAGCCACUCAGUAGUGGAUUUUAUUAUUUUGUCUUCUCCAUGGACUGAUUGGUUGUUGCUGUGGUUACUCCAUGGACUAAUAUGACCUUUGCACCGAAACCAUUUAUUUUACAAAAUUGCCUACCUUUGUUCUAGCAUAUUAAAUUUUAUUAGCAUGCUCCAGUGCCUACAAAUUGUUCUAUCGGAACAUUAUCUUUGUUCUUCCAUCAUGAAAUGUGUGAAGUUUGCAAUGACUGGAGAUCUCACCAAUAGUCAUGUCUCCAAAAAUUCCUCUUGUUCUAUUCAGACGCUUAACUUACUUUAGAUAAUGGAAGAUGGUUGCUCAGCCUCUGCAUCGUUCCAUAAUUUAUAUUUCCUGGACUUGUUAUUUCCCUGUGGAUUGAUCUAGGAUCCUACUUUGUUAUACAAGCGUCUGCCAGUUAAUGCUUUGCCAUUGUUUCUCUUGAGGUCACUCUUUAUAUUAGAAUAUUUUUAUGUACUGCAUUUAUGCUCUAUCUACAUUGGAAUUUGAUGUCAUCCUUGACUGUUACCUCUGUCUGCCUCAACUUUAUAUUGUAGAAAUUAUGUUUUGUUAAUUAUAAUUACAUACUAUUCUUUCACUAUUUCUGAUAAAAUCAUAAUAUUAUUUUUGAUAGGCUGGAAGGGAGGUCAUUAUCUACAACUGCUUACCAUCUCCUAUUUCAUCAAACUAAUAAACAACGGUUCAAAUGACUAGGGUUGCUAGGGAAGGGAGAAUUUAUUUGAAUAAUUUCCUCUUGACUAGGAUGAAUGAGAAAAUAUCUUCAUGUGGUUCUAUGUACAUUGCAUGUGCGUACUUACUAGUCAGAGUAAAAAAUAGAUGCAAAUUGUGUUGUUACAUACAAUUGUCAUGAUUACAAUGUCUGAUGAGAAACAAAUUACUUUUAGUCUUGUCGACAAUAUCCAGGAACCACGACCACCAACAUGCAGCAUGGCCAAUGGGCGGAGAACGGAUGGAUACCUCGCUGGGAACCAUGGUUUCGCACAUGUAGUAGAAACCAAAUGGUGGAUGGAAAGGCUACCUCAUGGGGAACCAGGGGCACGACUUGUAGUGUCCAACUGGUGGCGAAUGGAAGGCUACCUGGCCGGGUACCUCAACUAAUAGGCACUUAGCCAACGGGUGCACAUGGACGAGAUGACUUUGAAGUGUUUAUGGACCAUUCAACCUAUAAUCGUGGAUCUUAUGUGUCUUCCAGACCAUUUGGUGUUUCCGAUAUUUUGGAGCUUGUACUUUGUGCAAGUGGAUAUAGACUUGUGUGUUGUAGACCAUCUAGCUAAAGUCUCUCAUACAAGCAAAUAGUGCUCAUCUUUCUGUGACUUGUGUGUUCUAGGUGAUUGUUAAGAUGGUCAAAACUAUGCUUUGCCAAGAUGAUGUGUUUGUCAACUUGCAUUCAAUGUAUAUGAAUGUUUGUGAACAAGUUUUCAUUGUUGUACAGUAUGUGUUCAUCUUGAACCUUCUUGUGGAUGUGAGGAUAAUAAUUGAAUCUGUUUAGAGUUUGUA